Molecule: ribosomal RNA, 441 nt
Filed under: uncultured bacterium
Lineage: Bacteria
Description: partial 16S ribosomal RNA
Rfam family: Bacterial small subunit ribosomal RNA
Source: RNAcentral
CCUACGGGAGGCAGCAGUGGGGAAUAUUGCACAAUGGGGGAAACCCUGAUGCAGCGACGCCGCGUGGGUGACGAAGUAUUUCGGUAUGUAAAGCCCUAUCAGCAGGGAAGAAGAUGACAGUACCUGACCAAGAAGCCCCGGCUAACUACGUGCCAGCAGCCGCGGUAAUACGUAGGGGGCAAGCGUUAUCCGGAUUUACUGGGUGUAAAGGGAGGGUAGGUGGCAUGGCAAGCCAGAAGUGAAAACCCGGGGCUUAACCCCGCGGAUUGCUUUUGGAACUGUCAGGCUGGAGUGCAGGAGGGGCAGGCGGCAUUCCUGGUGUAGCGGUGAAAUGCGUAGAUAUCAGGAGGAACACCGGUGGCGAAGGCGGCCUGCUGGACUGUAACUGACACUGAGGCUCGAAAGCGUGGGGAGCAAACAGGAUUAGAUACCCGGGUAGUC